This 364-nucleotide long non-coding RNA is filed under the name Gallus gallus (chicken). RNAcentral's name for it is "lncRNA (ENSGALG00010001052.1)". Lineage: Eukaryota; Metazoa; Chordata; Aves; Galliformes; Phasianidae. The record is from RNAcentral.
UGGAAAUCUAAGAGUAACAAGAAUCAGAAAAAUCUUCCUUUAGGUACUGGAAGACCUCAACAAAGUCUCCCUGGAACCUCCUCCAGGCUAAACAAGCCCAACUGUCUCAGCUGGUCUUUGUAGGAGAGAUGCUCCAUUCCUCUGAUCAUCUUCAUGGCCUUCCUCUGGACCCACUUCAACAGCUCCCUGUCUUUCUUAUGUUGAUGUCCACAGAGCUCAAUACAGUUCUCCAGGUGGGAUCUCACAAGAGAUGAGUCAAGGAAGCUAGGCACUUUCAUGAAGAGCUAGCAGAGUUUUGACGUGUUGAAGUAUAUUUAAAAUAUGUUAAUAUUUAAACCAUUAUCAAUAAAGAAAUAGAAAGCAG